UGGGGAAUAUUGGACAAUGGGCGAAAGCCUGAUCCAGCCAUGCCGCAUGAGUGAAGAAGGCCUUUGGGUUGUAAAGCUCUUUUAGUGAGGAAGAUAAUGACGGUACUCACAGAAGAAGUCCUGGCUAACUCCGUGCCAGCAGCCGCGGUAAUACGGAGAGGGCUAGCGUUAUUCGGAAUUAUUGGGCGUAAAGGGCGCGUAGGCUGGUUAAUAAAUUAAAAGUGAAAUCCCGAGGCUUAACCUUGGAAUUGCUUUUAAAACUAUUAAUCUAGAGAUUGAAAGAGGAUAGAGGAAUUCCUGAUGUAGAGGUAAAAUUCGUAAAUAUUAGGAGGAACACCAGUGGCGAAGGCGUCUAUCUGGUUCAAAUCUGACGCUGAAGCGCGAAGGCGUGGGGAGCAAACA
RNAcentral lists this ribosomal RNA (402 nucleotides) under uncultured bacterium. RNAcentral's name for it is "partial 16S ribosomal RNA". It matches the Rfam family "Bacterial small subunit ribosomal RNA", at positions 355 to 774 of the family's 1533-position model. The record is from RNAcentral.